GAUGAAGAACGUAGCGAAAUGCGAUACUUGGUGUGAAUUGCAGAAUCCCGUGAACCAUCGAGUCUUUGAACGCAAGUUGCGCCUCAAGCCAUUAGGUUGAGGGCACGUCUGCCUGGGCGUCACAUAUCGUUGCCUGAUGCCAGUUUCCUCGUGAUGGGUGACUGUGCAGGGCGAAUGAUGGCUUCCCGUGAGCAUUGUUGCCUCAUGGUUGGUUGAAAAUUGAGUCCUUGGUAGGGAGCGCCGUGAUAGAUGGUGGUUGAGUGACGAACGAGACCCAAUCAUGUGAGACCCCUACCGAAUUUGGCCUUCAUGACCCACAUGCGUCUUUGGAACGCUCAUGACGAGACCUCAUGUCAGGCGGGGCUACCCGCUGAGUUUAAGCAUAUCAAUAAGCGGAGGA
RNAcentral lists this unclassified non-coding RNA (400 nucleotides) under soil metagenome. RNAcentral describes it as "partial contains 5.8S ribosomal RNA, internal transcribed spacer 2, and large subunit ribosomal RNA". The stretch from base 1 to 122 matches the Rfam family "5.8S ribosomal RNA", at positions 35 to 154 of the family's 154-position model. The record is from RNAcentral.